Molecule: long non-coding RNA, 687 nt
Filed under: Malus domestica (apple)
Lineage: Eukaryota; Viridiplantae; Streptophyta; Magnoliopsida; Rosales; Rosaceae
Description: long non-coding RNA (MDOM_LNC014703)
Source: RNAcentral
CACUUUGUCACGCAAAACUCUAAAAAUUUGAGCGGGCACCAAAAAUGGGCCGUGGGAAUUAAAAAAAAUUUUAGUCGUCGCGCCAAAUUUUAGGGGUUGCGUGACCAAUUUUUCGUCACGCAAAACUUUGCGCGACCAACACUUCGUCGCACCAAACUCUAAAAAUUUGAGUGGGCAAAAAAAUGGGACACGGGAAUUUUUUUUAAGACUUUGCACGACCAAUAUUUCGUCGAGCAAACUCGUAUACUUCGUCGCGCAAAGUGAUACCGUUUUUAAAACCAAAAUAACUCCUCCACAAUUUUCUCAAUGUUUUUCUCUACUCUUACCUCUCCUCUCUCUUUCCCUCUCCCCAAAUUUGACCCUCUCUCUCAAACUCACUCCUCUCACUUAAUCUCUCUUCUCUCUCUUCACUAUCUCUCAUUCUCACUCACUCUCUCAUCUCUCUCUCAUUAUCUCCUUUAAUUCUCUCACACUUACUCCUCCCUCUCAUUCUCACUCACUCUCAAUCUUGCCAAAAGGUAUAUUCUCCCCAAAUUUUAAUUUUUUUCAUUAGUAUGUGUUUUUGGAGUUAGUUUUGAGUUUGGUGCGGGGUUUGGGGUCGAGUAUAGGAUGAGGAGUGGAGUUUGGGGUCGGAUUUAGGGUAUACCAAUUUUAGGGGAGAUUAUGCCAAUUUUUUGUUAUUUUUUU